CAAUAGCGUAUAUUAAAGUUGUUGCGGUUAAAAAGCUCGUAGUUGGAGUUCUGCCAGGUGCCGCCUGUCCGCCCCAGUGGUGAGUACGUGGCGCGCAUUUGGCCCUUUCAAGGGGAGCGUAUCUGCACUUUAUUGUGUGGUGCGGGAUCCUUGACUUUUACUUUGAGGAAAUAGGAGUGUUCCAAGCAGGCUCUCGUCGUGCACAGCUCAGCAUGGAAUAAUAGCAUUGGACCUCGAUUCUAAGCUGUUGGUUGCCAGAAGCGAGGUAAUGAUGAAGAGGGAUAGUUGGGGGCAUUCGUAUUUAACUGUCAGAGGUGAAAUUCUUGGAUUUGUUAAAGACGGACUACUGCGGAAGCAUCUGCCAUGGAUGUUUUCAUUGA
Molecule: ribosomal RNA, 380 nt
Filed under: uncultured eukaryote
Lineage: Eukaryota
Description: partial 18S ribosomal RNA
Rfam family: Eukaryotic small subunit ribosomal RNA
Source: RNAcentral